RNAcentral lists this ribosomal RNA (253 nucleotides) under uncultured bacterium. RNAcentral's name for it is "partial 16S ribosomal RNA". It matches the Rfam family "Bacterial small subunit ribosomal RNA", at positions 524 to 776 of the family's 1533-position model. The record is from RNAcentral.
UACGUAGGGGGCAAGCGUUGUCCGGAAUCAUUGGGCGUAAAGAGCGUGUAGGCGGCCCGGUAAGUCCGCUGUGAAAGUCCAGGGCUCAACCCUGGGAUGCCGGUGGAUACUGUCGGGCUCGAGUCCGGAAGAGGAGUGUGGAAUUCCUGGUGUAGCGGUGAAAUGCGCAGAUAUCAGGAGGAACACCAAUGGCGAAGGCAGCUCGCUGGGACGUGACUGACGCUGAGACGCGAAAGCGUGGGGAGCAAACAGG